RNAcentral lists this ribosomal RNA (301 nucleotides) under uncultured bacterium. Its description in RNAcentral is "partial 16S ribosomal RNA". It matches the Rfam family "Bacterial small subunit ribosomal RNA", at positions 509 to 808 of the family's 1533-position model. The record is from RNAcentral.
CAGCAGCCGCGGGAAUACGUAGGUCCCGAGCGUUGUCCGGAUUUAUUGGGCGUAAAGCGAGCGCAGGCGGUUAGAUAAGUCUGAAGUUAAAGGCUGUGGCUUAACCAUAGUACGCUUUGGAAACUGUUUAACUUGAGUGCAAGAGGGGAGAGUGGAAUUCCAUGUGUAGCGGUGAAAUGCGUAGAUAUAUGGAGGAACACCAGUGGCGAAGGCGGCUCUCUGGUCUGUAACUGACGCUGAGGCUCGAAAGCGUGGGGAGCAAACAGGAUUAGAUACCCGCGUAGUCCCUGUCUCUUAUACA